CUCAGAUUGAACGCUGGCGGCAUGCCUUACACAUGCAAGUCGAACGGCAGCACGGGGGCAACCUGGUGGCGAGUGGCGAACGGGUGAGUAAUGCAUCGGAACGUGCCAUUGAGUGGGGGAUAACGUAGCGAAAGUUGCGCUAAUACCGCAUAUUCUGUGAGCAGGAAAGCAGGGGACCGCAAGGCCUUGCGCUCUUUGAGCGGCCGAUGUCAGAUUAGCUAGUUGGUGAGGUAACGGCUUACCAAGGCGACGAUCUGUAGCGGGUCUGAGAGGAUGAUCCGCCACACUGGAACUGAGACACGGUCCAGACUCCUACGGGAGGCAGCAGUGGGGAAUUUUGGACAAUGGGCGCAAGCCUGAUCCAGCCAUGCCGCGUGAGUGAAGAAGGCCUUCGGGUUGUAAAGCUCUUUCGGCCGGGAAGAAAUCGCAUGGGUUAAUACCCUGUGUGGAUGACGGUACCGGAAUAAGAAGCACCGGCUAACUACGUG
This 488-nucleotide ribosomal RNA is filed under the name uncultured bacterium. RNAcentral's name for it is "bacterial SSU rRNA". It matches the Rfam family "Bacterial small subunit ribosomal RNA", at positions 23 to 507 of the family's 1533-position model. The record is from RNAcentral.